ACAAAAUAGUUUAAAAAGAAUAAUGGCCUGUGGCGCUGUAGGUGUGUAGCUUUUGGA
This 57-nucleotide transfer RNA is filed under the name Lithobius maqinensis. RNAcentral's name for it is "transfer RNA-His". The record is from RNAcentral. Lineage: Eukaryota; Metazoa; Arthropoda; Chilopoda; Lithobiomorpha; Lithobiidae.